UCAAAACGAUGAUUUUUAUCACACAUUUAUCUUAACUUUCAUCGGACUACUGGUGUUGUCUUUAAUUACUCUUCGUCAAGCUACAAUUUCUCUCCAUCAAACAAAUAGAUAAUUUACUAAUAAAUUUACCUGGCAAUGAAACAUGAUCUCUACUCAUCAACACCCAAUAAACUUGGCCAAAAUCUUUUCGCAAAAGUGAUUUCAAACAUAUAUUAAUGCUAAAACAAAUAAUGCAAUUCAGAUUCAGACUAAUAAUG
This 257-nucleotide long non-coding RNA is filed under the name Olea europaea (common olive). RNAcentral's name for it is "long non-coding RNA (OEUR_LNC006180)". Lineage: Eukaryota; Viridiplantae; Streptophyta; Magnoliopsida; Lamiales; Oleaceae. The record is from RNAcentral.